GGACUACUGGGGUAUCUAAUCCUGUUUGCUCCCCAUGCUUUCGUACCUGAACGUCGGUGCUGGACCAGGAAGCCGCUUUCGCCACUGGUGUUCUUUCCGAUAUCUACGCAUUUCACCGCUACACCGGAAGUUCCGCUUCCCUCUUCCGCACCCUAGCUGAACAGUCUCGAAUGCCAUUCCCAGGUUGAGCCCGGGGCUUUCACAUCCGACUUAUCCAACCGUCUACGUACGCUUUACGCCCAGUAAUUCCGAUUAACGCUCGCACCCUCUGUAUUACCGCGGCUGCUGGCAC
RNAcentral lists this ribosomal RNA (292 nucleotides) under uncultured bacterium. RNAcentral describes it as "partial 16S ribosomal RNA". The record is from RNAcentral. RNAcentral also lists the same sequence under 1 other name.